UGAUCUACCCUGUGCUUACCCCACCCC
Molecule: non-coding RNA, 27 nt
Filed under: Homo sapiens (human)
Lineage: Eukaryota; Metazoa; Chordata; Mammalia; Primates; Hominidae
Source: RNAcentral